AACGAACGCUGGCGGCAGGCCUAACACAUGCAAGUCGAGCGAGAUCUUCGGGUCUAUCGGCGGACGGGUGAGUAACGCGUGGGAAUAUUCCUCUUUGUACGGAAUAGCCUCGGGAAACUUGGAUUAAUACCGUAUGUGCCCUUUUGGGGUAAGAUUUAUCGCCAAGUGAUUUGCCCGCGUUGGUUUAGGUUGUUGGUUGGGUAAUGGCAUACCAAGCCGAGGAUCCAUAGCUGGUUUGAGAGGAUGAUAAGACACACUGGGACUGAGACACGGCACAGAAUACGACGGGAGGCAGGAGAGGGGAAUAUUAGAAAAUGGGGGAAAACCUGAUCAAGCCAUGACGGGUGAGUGAUGAAGGGAUUAGGGUUGUAAAGCUCUUUCAGAUGGGAAGAUAAUGACGGUAACAGAAGAAGAAGCCACGGCUAACUCCGUG
This 433-nucleotide ribosomal RNA is filed under the name uncultured bacterium. RNAcentral's name for it is "partial 16S ribosomal RNA". It matches the Rfam family "Bacterial small subunit ribosomal RNA", at positions 29 to 507 of the family's 1533-position model. The record is from RNAcentral.